This 30-nucleotide non-coding RNA is filed under the name Mus musculus (house mouse). The record is from RNAcentral. Lineage: Eukaryota; Metazoa; Chordata; Mammalia; Rodentia; Muridae.
UAAUUUUGUUUUGAGCACCUAGGAAUUAGC